AUACUUACCUGGCAAGGGAGACACCGUGAUCAAGAAGGCGGUUCACCCAGGGCGAGGCUCAGCCAUUGCACUCCGGCUGUGCUGACCCCUGCGAAUUUCUCAAAUGUGGAAAUCGAUUGCAUAAUUGCAUAAUUUAUGGUAGUGGGGGACUGCGUUCGCGCUCUCCCCUG
Oncorhynchus keta (chum salmon) is the source of this 170-nucleotide small nuclear RNA. RefSeq annotates it as U1 spliceosomal RNA. Lineage: Eukaryota; Metazoa; Chordata; Actinopteri; Salmoniformes; Salmonidae. The transcript has a single exon. The record is from RefSeq and is a predicted model, not a curated record.